AAUCUAAACCUCCUUCCAGUUUAAAGCCGUUGCCCCUCGUCAGUUGCCCCUUGUCCAUUGCUCCUUGUCCAUUGCCAUAUGCCCUUGUGAAAAGUCUCUUUCCAGCUUUCUUGUGUAUGCCAAAAGUCAGCUAGUAAGAGAAGAGAGAGAAUAUCUAUUUAUUCUUUCUUUAUUUUUAUUUAGUCUAAUUUUAAAUGGUAAAACUUCCAGAGGACUACUUUAGCUAGGACUGGCUAAAGCAGUUUAUUUUUAUUUAGAGCAGCCUAAGCCACCUGCUUUGUAGAUGGUAAAUUCCUGCAUCUUUUGCUGAAUGCUUGUUAAAACAAAGAAUAAGGGAGACGGGCACCAUCUGCACGGAGCAGGGUAGCAGCAAAGGAGCCAUCAGGAUGAUGAGUGAACUGUGGUGUCUUGCUUUCCCUGCAGAUUGAAGAUAGGCAGGCCGAGAUGAGCAGGAGGAAUGUGCCUCAGAGGUAAAGAUGAGGAACACGCUCUUGAAAAGAGGGUGACUGCACCUGAAGGCACUGCUCAGAAGAGGAAGGUGUAUGCUAAUGAGCGAAAGCAGCAGGAAGAAAUGCAGCCGUGGACGUGGAGGGAAAGAAAGUCCUUCUCCUGGUCAUGUGCUUCCACUCCUUCCAAGAUGCCACCACUGCACUUGUGUUGCCUCAAAUCACCCAGUCCUGAGAAAGCUGUCUAUGUUUUCACUGGAUGA
Molecule: long non-coding RNA, 709 nt
Filed under: Geospiza fortis (medium ground-finch)
Lineage: Eukaryota; Metazoa; Chordata; Aves; Passeriformes; Thraupidae
Description: lncRNA (ENSGFOG00000013583.1)
Source: RNAcentral